AAGAUUGGCCGAGAGGCCUCAUCUCUAUAUCCCUCAACCUCUGUGAACCGUGGACCCUCGGGUCUAUUUUACAAACAUCAGUGUAAUGAACGUAAUUAUCAUAACAAAAACA
Molecule: unclassified non-coding RNA, 112 nt
Filed under: soil metagenome
Also listed under: 1 other name
Description: partial internal transcribed spacer 1
Source: RNAcentral